UACGGAGGGUGCAAGCGUUGCUCGGAAUUAUUGGGCGUAAAGGGUAGGUAGGUGGUCUCAUUUGUCUGGGGUGAAAGCCUUGAGCUUAACUCAAGAAGUGCCCCAGAAACGGUGAGACUGGAGUCCUGGAUAGGGUCGUGGAAUUCCCGGUGUAGCGGUGAAAUGCGUAGAGAUCGGGAGGAACACCAGAGGCGAAAGCGGCGACCUGGACAGGUACUGACACUCAACUACGAAAGCGUGGGGAGCAAACAGG
Molecule: ribosomal RNA, 253 nt
Filed under: uncultured bacterium
Lineage: Bacteria
Description: partial 16S ribosomal RNA
Rfam family: Bacterial small subunit ribosomal RNA
Source: RNAcentral